CAAUAGCGUAUAUUAAAGUUGUUGCAGUUAAAGAGCUCGUAGUUGGAUUUCUGAUCGAGACAUCAGGUCGGGUCCGAGAGGAUCAUGUACUUUGAUUUUGUUUUGAUCAUCCUUGGGGAGAGCAUUUCUGGCAUUCAGUUGUCGGGAUUGGGAUCCUCAUCGUUUACUGUGAAAAAAUUAGAGUGUUCAAAGCAGGCCUCGGCCUCUGAAUACAUUAGCAUGGAAUAAUAAGAUAGGACUUUGGUGGUCUAUUUUGUUGGUUUGCACGCCAAAGUAAUGAUUAAUAGGGAUAGUUGGGGGUAUUCGUAUUCAAUUGUCAGAGGUGAAAUUCUUGGAUUUAUGGAAGACGAACUACUGCGAAAGCAUUUACCAAGGAUGUUUUCAUUAA
Molecule: ribosomal RNA, 388 nt
Filed under: uncultured eukaryote
Lineage: Eukaryota
Description: partial 18S ribosomal RNA
Rfam family: Eukaryotic small subunit ribosomal RNA
Source: RNAcentral